Molecule: ribosomal RNA, 1748 nt
Filed under: human gut metagenome
Description: bacterial LSU rRNA
Rfam family: Bacterial large subunit ribosomal RNA
Source: RNAcentral
CGCCCAGACAACCAGGAUGUUGGCUUAGAAGCAGCCAUCCAUUCAAAGAGUGCGUAACAGCUCACUGGUCGAGUGGACAUGCGCCGACAAUACACGGGGCUAAGCUGGACACCGAAGCGGCGGGAUUUUAAUUCAUUAGAAUCGGUAGGGGAGCUUCCCAUGGGCGGAGAAGCCGGAGGGCGACCGACGGUGGAGCGCAUGGGAGUGAGAAUGCUGGCAUGAGUAGCGAGAGACGAGAGAGUAACUCGUCCGCCGUGAACCCGAGGUUUCCUGGGCAAGGCUAAUCCUCCCAGGGUCAGUCGGGGGCUAAGGCGAGGCCGGUAGGCGUAGCCGACGCGCAGCAGGCAGACAUUCCUGCACCGCGCACGCGGCGCUACGACCGACGGGGCGACGGAUGGGGGUGGCUCGGCGGGGUUCUGGACGUCCCCGUGAUGGAGCGCGGCCCGCGGACCAGGGAAAUCCGGUCCGCAUUGAGGGCGAGGCUCCGGACGAAGCGAUUGAGCGAAGCGAGUGAGCCCGAGGUCCCUAGAAAAACCCCUAGGCAGGCGCGUGCGCGCCCGUACCGCAAACCGACACAGGUGGGUGGGUAGAACAUACCGAGGCGAUCGGGUCAACCAUGGUCAAGGAACUCGGCACAAUGGCCCCGUAACUUCGGGAGAAGGGGUGCCCGCGCGUACGUGAACGGACUUGCUCCGGGAGCGGAGGCGGGCCGCAGUGGAGAGGCCCAAGCGACUGUUUACCAAAAACACAGGACUCUGCAAAGCCGCAAGGCGACGUAUAGGGUCUGACGCCUGCCCGGUGCCGGAAGGUCACGCGGAGGAGUUAGCCGUUAAGGCGAAGCCCCGAAGCCAAGCCCCGGUAAACGGCGGCCGUAACUAUAACGGUCCUAAGGUAGCGAAAUUCCUUGUCGGGUAAGUUCCGACCUGCACGAAAGGCGCAACGACUUGGGCGCUGUCUCGACCAUGGACCCGGUGAAAUUGCACUGGUCGUGAAGAUGCGACUUACCCGCGGAAGGACGGAAAGACCCCGUGAACCUUCACUGCAGCUUGGCAUUGGCCGCUGGUCCCGCGUGUAGAGGAUAGGCAGGAGGCACAGAUCCGGAGGCGCCAGCCCCCGGGGAGCCGCCCUUGGAAUACUGCCCUCGCGCGACCGGCGUCCUAACCCGAGGCCGUCAACCGGCUCGGGGACCGUGCCAGGCGGGCAGUUUGACUGGGGCGGUCGCCUCCUAAAGGGUAACGGAGGCGCGCGAAGGUCCGCUCGGGACGGUCGGCAACCGUCCUUUUGAAUGCAAGAGUACAAGCGGGCUUGACUGCGAGGCCCACAAGCCGAGCAGGUGCGAAAGCAGGCUCUAGUGAUCCGGCGGCCCCGAGUGGGUGGGCCGUCGCUCAACGGAUAAAAGGUACUCCGGGGAUAACAGGCUGAUCUUGCCCAAGAGUCCACAUCGACGGCAAGGUUUGGCACCUCGAUGUCGGCUCAUCGCAUCCUGGGGCUGGAGCAGGUCCCAAGGGUACGGCUGUUCGCCGUUUAAAGCGGUACGCGAGCUGGGUUCAGAACGUCGUGAGACAGUUCGGUCCCUAUCCUCCGUGGGCGCAGGAGAAUCGAUGGAGGCUGCCCCCAGUACGAGAGGACCGGGGUGGACGCACCUCCGGUGAACCGGUUGUCGACCAACGGCACGGCCGGGUAGCCGCGUGCGGCGCGGAUAACCGCUGAAGGCAUCUAAGCGGGAAGCCGUUCCAGGGAUUAGUUCU